UUUAAAGAUGUGACGGUGGGCUUCACCCAGGAGGGGUGGCAGCAUCUGGACCCUGCUCAGAUGACCCUGUACAGGGAUGUGAUGCUAGAGAACUACAGCCACCUCGUCUCAGUGGGAUAUUGCGUCCCUAAACCAGAAGUGAUCUUCAAAUUGGAACAAGGAGAGCAGCCAUAGACAUUAGAGGAAGAGCCCCCAGGCCAGAGAUACCCAGGUGAAUUGGCAUGUAUUAAGCAGAAGGAUGCCAGUGACAUGAUCAUCCAGAAGCAAUAAGGAAAAAGAGCAAUACAACUUUAUCUCAUGACAAUAGAGGAUAUCUGAAACCUCAAAUCAAUACAAGUGGAAAUGCUGCCAGAAUCACUGAAAAAUUAAGGAGGUCUAUAUGUACCAGCAGAUGAAAAGAAACAAAAACAUUUCUGGUGCUUGAAGGAACUGGUAAUAUACUUGACAGAGAUAAAGUACAUACUCUGAGGUGCAAAGCUUAAAUCUCUGUUGGAAUAACAUCAGUGCUGUGCACAGGACAGCUGGAGCUCCUUUGAAUGCAGUUUGGUUCUGUGAAGCUGAUGUAGGGUUACGUAUGGAAACAGACACACAAGUCAUAUUUUUCUGUGACAAUGCAAGAGAUGAGACUUUCCAUUUCAGAAAAAAAAAUGUUACAGACACCUGUAUGUGGG
RNAcentral lists this long non-coding RNA (671 nucleotides) under Pan troglodytes (chimpanzee). Its description in RNAcentral is "long non-coding RNA NONPTRT001710". The record is from RNAcentral. Lineage: Eukaryota; Metazoa; Chordata; Mammalia; Primates; Hominidae.